UAGUGGCGAACGGGUGAGUAACACGUGGGCAAUCUGCCCUUCACUCUGGGACAAGCCCUGGAAACGGGGUCUAAUACCGGAUAACACUGCGGAUCGCAUGGUCUGCGGUUAAAAGCUCCGGCGGUGAAGGAUGAGCCCGCGGCCUAUCAGCUUGUUGGUGAGGUAGUGGCUCACCAAGGCGACGACGGGUAGCCGGCCUGAGAGGGCGACCGGCCACACUGGGACUGAGACACGGCCCAGACUCCUACGGGAGGCAGCAGUGGGGAAUAUUGCACAAUGGGCGAAAGCCUGAUGCAGCGACGCCGCGUGAGGGAUGACGGCCUUCGGGUUGUAAACCUCUUUCAGCAGGGAAGAAGCGAAAGUGACGGUACCUGCAGAAGAAGCGCCGGCUAACUACGUGCCAGCAGCCGCGGUAAUACGUAGGGCGCAAGCGUUGUCCGGAAUUAUUGGGCGUAAAGAGCUCGUAGGCGGCUUGUCACGUCGAUUGUGAAAGCCCGAGGCUUAACCUCGGGUCUGCAGUCGAUACGGGCUAGCUAGAGUGUGGUAGGGGAGAUCGGAAU
This 560-nucleotide ribosomal RNA is filed under the name Streptomyces sp. 434B02. RNAcentral describes it as "bacterial SSU rRNA". It matches the Rfam family "Bacterial small subunit ribosomal RNA", at positions 93 to 667 of the family's 1533-position model. Lineage: Bacteria; Bacillati; Actinomycetota; Actinomycetes; Kitasatosporales; Streptomycetaceae. The record is from RNAcentral.